Molecule: non-coding RNA, 3062 nt
Organism: Rattus norvegicus (Norway rat)
Lineage: Eukaryota; Metazoa; Chordata; Mammalia; Rodentia; Muridae
Source: RefSeq, a predicted model, not a curated record
ACCUAAGAAAUUGAAAGACACAUAAACCUCAGGCAGCACCUUCUAUGUUAAUUAGCUUUCUUUACUCACCAGGACCUUAUGAAAAAGCAUUGGUUUGCAUAAGCUGCAAAGUAACCUGUUAAAUACAGUCUGUUGAGGUAUGACUAUUGGCUGCUUGCUGAAUCUAACAUUUCUCCAUAUCAACAAAGUCUAGCAAACCUUCCUGAACAAGACCAAUUCAAGACUAAAUUACUAAGGAAGGCUGAGUAAGGUGAGAUGGUCCAAUGGUUAGAGAGCUUGCCUUGCAAAUAUGAGGACUGAAGUUCAGAUUCCCCAGACCCCAUUUGACAGGUAGCCUGCCUGCAAUCCCAGCUUAGAAGGAAGAGACGGAAUUCCUGGAAAAAAAUGGUUAGGAAGACAACUUUAUCAGUGAGCUCUGAGAAAUGUGUCUAAAUGAGUAAGAAAGUAAAUAAAGAAUACUCCCAAUGUCAGCCUUGGACCUCCAUGUACAUGUGCAUACAAGUGUAGGUAUACCUACAUAGACAUGUGAGCCCACACAGUAAAUACUCAUGUGUACCACUGUGCCACAUAGUUUUAUGUUAGCCUGAUAUAGAGUCAUCUGAAAGAAGGGAUCUCAAAAGAGAAAUGCCUCCAUAAGAUUGGCUGUAAGGCAAACAAGCCGAUAGAGUAUUUUUAAAACUUAGUUAUUGAUGGAGGAGGGCCCAGCCCACUGUGGAGCCGUCCUUGGACUGGUAGUCCUGGUGCUAUAAUAAAGCUGGCUGAGCGGGCCAUGAGUCGCAAUCUGGUAAGCAGCACCCUCCACAGUCUCUGCAGCAGCUCCUACCUCCAGGUUCCUGUCCUGUGAGUUCCUUUCCUGACCUCCUUCAAUGAUAACAACCCCAUGGAAGUCUAAGCCAAAUAAAGAAACCCUUCCCUCCCAGCUUGCAUUUCUGUCAUGGUGUUUCCCUGCAGCAACAGAAACCCAACCACACAUAGAAAAAAAAUCAAACAAAACAAAACAAUCCCAGAAAGGAACACAGUCUAUAGGGAUAAAGCGCACGUGUACUGGGCAGACUGGCAGUGAAAGUUCCUUUUAAAACAUUCAAGCUUGACCAGUUUUGCUUCCUCCCAAAGCAAACCCCAAUAUGUAAAUAACAUGAGUCACAAGCUGUUAAAAGCUGCCUCAUGCCUGUUUUAGAGUCCUAAGCUGUGUAUUUAACCCCUGCAACUGCUGACACACACAUGGAGAUGUGCUAUGGCAGGAAGGGUACAAAGGCAACAAUAAUCAAGCACUGACUGAAUCAAGGACAAGGAAGUCACAUCGUUACACAUCUACAAGACCGACAGUUAAGUCCUCUAUAGUGAAGGGAAGAACAGUUAAGCUCACAAGUUACCUCACCAGUGUAGACAAAAACUGAUUUCUACAAAUGGCAUGGAAAAUAAUGUAAGCUUGUGUCUCACUUACUCCCUUAAUUCUGCUCUGACCAGGAUGGUGCUGGAUCUGAUCUUUAAAAACGAUAACAGACAUGGACUUCAGUGACCACACAGCUUCUAACUGAUGUUUAACAAUGUUCAAAAGUGUGAGCGGUCCUGGCACUUGGGUACAGAGCAUCUCACAAAUCAAGCAGAAAAGCCCAGUCACUCAGGACACACCGGAGGAGGGGAGGACAGAGCGGUGGGCACACUGGCCGUGCAUUUGCCUUCACACUGAGAUGUGACAAUUCAGGCUACUGGGGACACUUCCUAAGCACAGGGCCCUACUAGAACCAGAGAGUUUUAGGAUCUCUUCUCAUCCCUGCACCAACAGCUGACACCUGAUUAUCAGAGACUGGAGCUAUCAGGUCACAUGUCACUGGAGUCCAAACAGGUCACCAUCCUUACUUACUCAUGUAUAUCAUAAGAAAACAAGAUGUCUUAGUAUGCAGACCUCUACUCCACACAAUUGUUAAGAGAACUGUAAAACUAAGAUAUCCUGAGAUGACUUCAAGGUUUAUAAACAGGAAAUUUCAUUAGUCAGAACUAUAGUGACUAAAGAUUAAGUUCAAAAAUGGAGAACAGGAACAGUGAAGUCCUGAUAUGGUUCAAUGAUUCGUCAGUAUCAGGACAGAGCACAGUAAGGACAACCACUGUCUUCCCUUCAAGUCAGAAAUGGGUUCAAAGUAACAGAGAGAAAGCAAGCGUGUGAAGGCACACGCGGAGUUGCAGUGUUCUCAUUAACCCAGAACACACACUCUGACACAUACCCUGUCAAGUUCUGGAGUCUAUCAGUGGCCUGGAGGUCUUAAAAACACUUUGCUGUGCUGCACCAUGCUUAUCCAUCAGAGUCUGAGGCUGCUCCUGCCACAGGUCUGGCUUUCACCACUCCAGAGGCUGCAGGAUUGCUUGCUAAAGGCACUCUCUCCUCACACACUUCCUAAGAGCUGGGCAUUCAGAAACUGCAGCUGAGCCCGGGUUGUCUGCAGAGAACACUGACAUCAGCGGGUAAGUGGCAACUGCCGUGUUUACUGUACAGAUUUGUACUGGGCUGGCAGUGCAACUUCACUGUGCUAAAAGGUGGCUCUUUUCCAUCUUCCCUCCAAUGAGCUGCACGCUCUGCGUUUUUCUAUUCAGUGCAAGUGGAAGGAAAAGAUUAGAGAGCAACCUCAGAGUUCCAGCUUCACCUACUCAGUAGAAGGAGAAAAGCUGUCAUGCAUGUAUGUGUGUACACACGCAGAAGCAAGAGGUUAAUGUAACACUGACUUCUGCCAGAUAUGGACUGUGAUAGGACCACUGUGUACAUACUCAAACGAGUGCUGUCCAUAGGAAGACAAAGACAAAGUCACAAACCUUUGGUUAACUUUUCAACGUGUUUCUGGAGCUCAAUGUCCACAUUAAAAUGAACGUAAGUAUCUUCUUUUCUUGAUGCCACAGGAGUAUCUUGUACAGGAGUUAAAUCUAUGCCAUUCAAAUCUAGAGAGAAACAAGUUUCCACUUAAGGACAAUCAAAUUUAUAGAGCACCAAAGGCUAAAUAUCCUGCAGAGGUGGGAGAGGGGAAGGAUUUGGGGCUCUUUGUAAUAAUUAAACCUAUGAAUUCUAAACUAUA